Molecule: long non-coding RNA, 262 nt
Filed under: Trifolium pratense (red clover)
Lineage: Eukaryota; Viridiplantae; Streptophyta; Magnoliopsida; Fabales; Fabaceae
Description: long non-coding RNA (TPRA_LNC002049)
Source: RNAcentral
AGAUUUUGUGCUCUCUUAUCCUUAAGGCUUUUUGAAUCCAAAGAAAAACAAUGAUUUCUUGUAGCCCAGCCCCAUUACAAGCUUAAGAAAGACCUUAGUAAUUCAUGAUUGAUAACAUGUCUUGUGAUUAUGUUGAGAUGUAUGUUUGAAUUGAUUUGUUGUGAACACAUUGCUUGGAUUGAGAGAAACACUACACCCUUGAGUAGAAACACUUGUGAGAAUUGUGAUUCUAGUUGAUUAUCUUGUUGAUUUGGAAAGCUUG